UUUAUACUCCCUCCGUCCCAAAAUUCUUGUCUUAGAUUUAUCUACAUACAGAUGUAUCUAGUCACAUUUUAGUGUUAGAUACAUCCGUAUCUAGACAAAUCUACGACAAGAAUUUUAGGACAGAGGGGGUACAUC
Molecule: non-coding RNA, 135 nt
Organism: Triticum urartu
Lineage: Eukaryota; Viridiplantae; Streptophyta; Magnoliopsida; Poales; Poaceae
Source: Rfam